This 946-nucleotide long non-coding RNA is filed under the name Oryzias sinensis (Chinese medaka). Its description in RNAcentral is "lncRNA (ENSOSIG00000006602.1)". Lineage: Eukaryota; Metazoa; Chordata; Actinopteri; Beloniformes; Adrianichthyidae. The record is from RNAcentral.
GAUGUUAAACUGGGUUGUCAAAGUCGUACCCCAACCACCUGAGCCGCCGUCCAAAAUCGCAGAGGGUCCGAAGGGCGGCAAACAAAGUGCUGCCCCCCCUGUCGCCGAAGCUCCGCCUCCUCCUCCUGAGAAGAAAGUGAAGUUUCAAGAUGAAUGCAAAAACGAAGCUUCAAAGGCUGAGAAUUCAAAGCAGGAGAACCAAGCAGCGGCAGGAAACGGUCCUGCGCCUGGGGUGCUGACCUGGAUCAGCAGCUCUCUUCCACAUCCUGCAGCCUCACCAAGCCUGAACAGAGCAAUCCCCGCCCACUCCACCAAGGUGCGUCAGACAGCGCCUCCUGCAGAAUCUCAGGUCACAGCGAAGGAGGCGGAGAGCGACCAAAGUGAGAAGUUAGGCCCGCCCAGGAUGAUGGAGUGGAUCAAACAUGGAAUCGAGAAGGUGGUUCCUCAUCCGGAGAGUCACUCCACCAACGAGAAGACUGAAGCUAAAGGUGCUUCUACUUCGCUGUUGAGAGUCACUGAUGAUGAUGAUGAUGAUGAUGACCUUCAAUUCCACUCGUGGUGUCUUUUGUUUGUUUCAGUGAUCAAAGUUCUGGCUUCGGCUCCAAAACCUCCCUCAGAGACAGAGCUCACCAAUGAAGCAGAGCAGCAGCCAAAUAUGAUGGGCUGGAUCGUCAGUGGGAUCGGCCGCAUGCUGCCUCAGCCAGUCCUGAAGCCGGACGCAGGAAGUGACGAGGUGCAGACGAGUAAGUACCACACUGUCACCACUGCCCUCCUCGGCUGGCCUUCGGGUGGGGUCACCCAUGAGCACCAAUCUUUCUCUCCGUGUAGCCCGCAGAGACGAGCUGAUUGGUUGGUUGUAGCAGACAGUGUCAGCGCUGAGGUGGACUCUAACUGGGCUGCUCUUCUCCUUCUGUUUCAGGAAGGAAAGGAAAGCAGAGCCCCUUAA